Molecule: ribosomal RNA, 244 nt
Filed under: uncultured bacterium
Lineage: Bacteria
Description: partial 16S ribosomal RNA
Rfam family: Bacterial small subunit ribosomal RNA
Source: RNAcentral
UACGUAGGGUGCAAGCGUUAAUCGGAAUUACUGGGCGUAAAGCGUGCGCAGGCGGUGAUGUAAGACAGUUGUGAAAUCCCCGGGCUCAACCUGGGAACUGCAUCUGUGACUGCAUCGCUGGAGUGCGGCAGAGGGGGAUGGAAUUCCGCGUGUAGCAGUGAAAUGCGUAGAUACGCGGAGGAACACCGAUGGCGAAGGCAGCCCCCUGGGCUAACACUGACGCUCAGGCACGAAAGCGUAGGGG